CUUUUUAAUUGGAAGCUGGAAUGAAGGGUGGAGACUAAGGAGAAGGUUUUAUUUUGUCAAUUUGAAUUUAAAUUAAAAGUAAAAGUGCUUUUAUUAUUUCUUGGGACGAGAAGACCCUAGAAGCUUUAAAUUAGAUUAAUUUUGAUUGGGGCAAUGGUUGAAGAACAUUAUUUUUAAUUGGUUUUGUUAUUCUAUAUAUUGAAGUUACUCUAGGGAUAACAGCGUUAUCUAGUUAGCAAGUUCUUAUUAAUAAUUAGGUUUGCGACCUCGAUGUUGAAUUAAAUUGAAUUUUUGGGGAAGGGGCUAAAGUUAUUAAGUCUGUUCGACUUUUAAUGGUUUACGUGAUCUGAGUUCAGACCGGA
RNAcentral lists this ribosomal RNA (362 nucleotides) under Eusarcus armatus. RNAcentral describes it as "partial large subunit ribosomal RNA". The stretch from base 71 to 362 matches the Rfam family "Bacterial large subunit ribosomal RNA", at positions 2045 to 2620 of the family's 2925-position model. The record is from RNAcentral. Lineage: Eukaryota; Metazoa; Arthropoda; Arachnida; Opiliones; Gonyleptidae.